Molecule: small RNA, 443 nt
Filed under: Penicillium sp. 1 MS-2015
Lineage: Eukaryota; Fungi; Ascomycota; Eurotiomycetes; Eurotiales; Aspergillaceae
Description: eukaryotic LSU rRNA
Rfam family: 5.8S ribosomal RNA (bases 130-282)
Source: RNAcentral
ACCUUGUUGCUUCGGGGGGCCCGCCUUUACUGGCCGCCGGGGGGCUCACGCUCCCGGGCCCGCGCCCGCCGAAGACACCCCCGAACUCUGUCUGAAGAUUGCAGUCUGAGUGAAAACGAAAUUAUUUAAAACUUUCAACAACGGAUCUCUUGGUUCCGGCAUCGAUGAAGAACGCAGCGAAAUGCGAUACGUAAUGUGAAUUGCAAAUUCAGUGAAUCAUCGAGUCUUUGAACGCACAUUGCGCCCCCUGGUAUUCCGGGGGGCAUGCCUGUCCGAGCGUCAUUGCUGCCCUCAAGCCCGGUUUGUGUGUUGGGCCCCGUCCCCCGAUCCCGGGGGACGGGCCCGAAAGGCAGCGGCGGCACCGCGUCCGGUCCUCGAGCGUAUGGGGCUUUGUCACCCGCUCCGUAGGCCCGGCCGGCGCCUGCCGAUCAACCCCAAAUUUU